AAAGGAUCCCUGCUGCUCUCACCUUCCACAACAUUUAACGUGAGUAAAAUGACAGCAGUAGGAUGCAGCCAUCCCCACGCUAUGCCUGGUAUUUACAGGUGCCACUGUGGAACAUUUGAAGGGGGCCUGUGUGUGUGUGCAUGCUAGGAACAUAGGGAGCUGCCUUAUGUAGAGCCAAUCAGACUUGCAUUUUCUUUGUAAUGACCCAGCUGGCUCUGUAUUUACACUGACUGGCAGCAGCUCUCCAGGGAUCCAGACAGGAUGCAUUUCUGGAGAUGCCAGAGAUUUGACCUUUUUUUUUUGCAGGCAAAGCACAUCUUCUCACGCUGGGUUACAGCCCUUCCAAUGAGCUCUAUGCCUUUCCAUGCUGUCUUCAUCUUAGUCUGGUUGAAUUUGGGAUUGCCAAUCGAUAAAAGAGAGCAUUGUCCAGUGGAAGUUAAUAACUUUAAAAAUUGCACUUACUGAAUGGAAGACAAAAAUGUUAUUGACGAAGCAACUGAAGCUUUUGUUUUAACUGUGGCAGUUUUUAAUUCAUCUGCCCCUGUUACUUUCCCCCUGGGGAAAACUGCUCUUUAGCGCAAACAGCAGCUUGGGUUUUCUGCAGAUUGCCAUUUGAUUUGGUUUAUCACUAAAGAGCAGGUUUUCCCUUGGAAAGGAGUGGGGAAAGGGGGAAACCGCUUGGACCUGUGCUUUCUGGGCACGGCACAAUCGGAAGUGUGGACGAGCCCUCAUGCCCUUGGCUUAUUGGUCCAGCUUAAUUUUCAGCUUCUAAUUGCUUUCAAAUUGGCGUGACUGAAAGUGUGAUGCCUAUCCAUGCAGAUCUGCUGAUAGAUUGAGGUGGUGCAUCAAGUCCUCUGCUAUGAGAAAGAAGGCCUGUUCAAUAUGCCAGCUCCAGUGGAUGGGUCUGGGAUGAAGGCCAGAGGGAGGAGAGGUGUGGAGGUGUGUUUGAUCUCCCAAGCCUGAGUUUCCCCAUGCCUGUUUUAAAGGGAUUAUGGCUGCUAGUCAUGCUGGCUAUAUACUACCUUCAAUAUUCAGAACCCCAUGCCUCUGAACACAAGUCACUGGAGAGGUCUAUUGCGCUUGUGUCCUGCUUGUCAGCUUCUGAUUGGCUACUGGAGAAAACAGAAUGGUGAACCAGAUGGGCCUUUGGCCUGUUCUUAAUACACACACAAGCUUUUGGACAGGAAUGUACUUGGCAGCCAUAUAUAAUUUUCUCCCCUCCAUUUUCAUUAAUGACCACUUGCUGUUUAAUUCAGUGGAGGGUGGGGGGAGUCCCAAGAAACCCCAAUGUACUCCUCUGGUAUUUUUGGAAAUGUCAGUACCACCCAAGGUAACUUUCCACUAAUUUUCAAGUUGUAGGAACACCCAUUACUCUGUAAUGGCAAUUUCCAUCGGGCAAAAUGUAUAGGUUCUUUUCCAUUCUUUAAUUGGUCAAAAAUGUUAGUACAGAUAUUUGCUAAACACCUUAUAAAUAGCAAGGGAGUUUUGUGCUGGCUUUCGUAAUAUUAACGCCGUACAUUAAAACUUGUCACGAUUUGGCUUAAGCCUCAUUUUUUCCAAGACACACCAUUUCCUAUAGCUUGGAACAUUUCCCCUUUUUUUAUUCAUAGGAAUAAGUUAGGCUGUGGAUUCCCUUUGAAUAAUAAUCAUAAAAAAGCCCUGGCCUUGGUCAAGUGUAACUGGCUUGCUGAUCAUUUCAUGUCUCUUUGGGGGGGUGAGCAGAGUUUCUGAACGCUUAAAUUGUUUCCUUGAUUUGCUUACCAGGGAGACAGAAUGGUUUACCUACCGGUACUUGCAUGAUGUAUUGAAAUGCAUGAUGCAGUUCAGAGCAGUGGUAGAAAUUGCAUCCUUGUUAUGUGCCCCCCCCCCUCGCUAAAGGUUGCUCUGCAGUGUUUAGAGUUUAUACGCCAAUAUGCUCUAUCAGAGCUCUCUAUGCCCUUGAGGCUGGUUUAUUCUCCCCCCCCCCCAAAAAAAAAUAUUCUUGUGCACAUGUCAUUAUAAUACAACCACCAUUUCUCCUCCAAACCAUUGGGAUCUAAAUCGGAUAUAUUAUUUAUCAACUUGAAGGUAACUUGUAUCUGUGUUGAGGGAUAGUGUUUGAUAAUAAUGCAAAACAGUUGAAAGAGGGGACUAGUUCUCCUUUUUCUUCUUUUUAGGAGGUGCUUGCUUAAGGCCUUUUGUGAAAUAGCAAAUGUUGUUUUUUAAUUUAGGCCACUUACUAAUUGGAUUUCCUGUAUCAUAGGAAAUUCCAAACCUGGGGCAAUGUGUUUUCCUAUCAUGGCUAUGGGUGAAAAGCCAGCAUUUAGAGUUUGCAAUCAAAAAGGGAAACUAAAAAGAUUGGCUGUGAUCCAGGUAAGGUUAGCUGUUGUGUUGUGGCCAAAUCCUAUUGAAAUUGAUGGGGCUUAAGUGAAUCAAGACAAUUUAUUUAUUUUAAGGGGACUUAGUCAUGAGUAACUUUAUCUGGAUUGAGGUUCUUGCAGCUUUGGUAACAUGGUAUGUGUUGUUUGCUGUUAUUUCAAAGAUUAAAAAUACAAAAUACACAGAAGAUAAAAAGAUUGUUUUUAUUUCUUAAAACACACCCAGCCACCCAAAAUUGGUUUGCAACACAUGAAAUGACAAUCUUGCAACAUUAUAACCCCCAAAUUGGUUUGCAACACACAAAAUGGCAAUCUUGCAACAUUAUAACAUUGCAAAGGUGCCUUUUGAUUGAGGAAGGAAAGAAUUGUCCCUGCAAUUAAUGAUUUUUGAUGUGCUAAAAAUAUUUUGCAUUUGUCUCUAUUUUCUUCUGCUCUCAGAUAGUAUGUCAGUAUGCCAUUCUUUUCUAUCAUAGAAUCAUAGAAUUGUAGCACUGGAAGGGACCCUAGCGUUAACCUAGUCUAACCUCUGCAAUCACAGAAACAAGUUAAAUAAUGCCUGGCAAAUGACCAUCCAACCAAUGUUAAAAACUUCCAGUGUCCAUGAGGCUGCUGUUAGUAAUUUUUGUAGUCUCCAACUUUGCAUCCACAGUGCAUAGUGGUGGCUGGUUUUUCCCCUUUGAUGAGGGACAGGCCUGCACCUUUUAUGGCCCUGUCUCUUUUUCUGGUUUUUUAGAUGUGGAAGCCAUUUUGUGUUAUGCCACACCCAUGGCAACUAUUUUGUGCCUUGCCACACCAUCCCUGGGGCAGCCAUUUUGUGAUUGGCAUCUGCAACAUUUUCUCUAUAUCCGCAACAUUCCCUCUAGCUCAGAAAGGUUGACAACUCCUGCUGUAAAGUGUUAAGGCCAGAUAUUGAGGUGCUUACAUGAUCCUGUUACAUCAAUGGGGUUACUUCUGAGCUUAAAACAAAUUUCUGAAUCCUUCACAGUCACCGGCCAGAGUUGGAAUAUCACCACUGUCUUCUCUGUUUUCAGAGUCGAGCUACAGCAAUUUAUCCUCUUUAAAAUACAUUAAAAAGUGAAUGCUACAACAGUACUUUUUCUGCCUUGUUAGAGGCAAAGAUCAGUGUACUUGGCACUAAAUGAAUCUGAAAAAGGCAUUGAAGACCCUCAGCAGGAUAAGGGAUUUCAUGUGGGCAACAUGGAAAGGGAAUAGUCAACCCCCCCCCCCCCCAAGUACUUCACAGUCCAUGAGAUUGUUCCUCUGAAGCUCCUACCUCUUUGGUUAUUAUGAUGUCUAGAAAGUAACCACAAAAAUGCUCUCAAAAUUUUAACAAACCAGCCAUUGUGUUAAGUAAGCCUAAGUAUGAAUAGUUGAAAUAAUCACAUAUUAGCCUUUCCCAGCCCACCCAUAUCUCAGUUUCUCCCCUUCCUUUUUAUUUUCAGAUUGUAAGACUCUUGAGCUAGGGGCCUGUCAUGCCUGUUCUUUGUAAAGGACUACGUUGCCUCCUGUGGGGUUUUUCACCUAUUAGAGAGUGGGCAGGACUUACUUCUUAUUAGUACAGUGGUACCUCAGGUUACAUAUGCUUCAGGUUACAUACGCUUCAGGUUACGCACUCUGCUAACCCAGAAAUAGUGCUUCAGGUUAAGAACUUUGCUUCAGGAUAAGAACAGAAAUCGGGCUCCGGCGGUGCAGCAGCAGCAGGAGGCCCCAUUAGCUAAAGUGGUGCUUCAGGUUAAGAACAGUUUCAGGUUAAGAACGGACUUCCAGAACGAAUUAAGUACUUAACCUGAGGUACCACUGUAUGCUGCUAGAUGAGUAUCUUAUGUAGUUGGUUUUGUCUGUGAUUUAUUUUUCCAUUACCUAGGUUUAAAUUGUUUUAAUGUGUUGUACUUUAUUUUCACCAAGUCGCUUUGAGACUUCUUAUUGUAAAAAAAGUGACAGAUGAAUGAAAUGAAAUGCACGUAGAUGGUGCUAAAUAAAUACAUAUGCCAAAGAACAUAAUGUUGAAGCUUGUGGGGAGUUUUCUCUCCAUUAUUCCCCUUCAAGAAACCAACCAACAGUGGCACCCUUGAGCAGUUCUUUAUGGUGUUUGCCAGAGACAAAUAGACACCAGUUGUGGCACAGAGGGUUGUGGAGGAAGGCUAAAUUCAGAGCUGUUGUUGCAAUGGCCUGUGAGUGCCCUUUCUGGCCCAGGAAUGUCUCUCACUCUGAAAUUUUAUCUUUAUAUCUGAUGGAGAUGUAAGAAAAAGGUGCAGGCGACUUCCUACCCUGUUACAAGCUGAGUGUACAAUUACAUCACUUCAGAUGUUUAAGACUAACUUUAUGUAUGGAAUUCUGCACUGAUUUUCUGUCCUCUCAUCACAAAAUAUCUGGUUGCGGACCUGGUUGGUUUUGUCUUUGUUGUGUGGCUCUCCCAUGGCAGGUUUUCAAAAUGAUGGAAGCCUGACAAUUUUAAUGCUUUAAUUUGUUGCUCUUGCUGUUGUUCAGGGUGUAGCCAGUAGCGUGUGGUCUGAAAAUGUUCCAAGGGUCCUUUGGUAAACUUUUCUAAGCAUUAGCUUAGAGAUCGCUAGUCCCUUUGCUUGCUCCCUCUCUUUUAAUUUGGUCAGUUUAUUUAUGCGAUUAUAAUAUUUGCCUCCCUGUUUGUCUUGGCACUUGAGUUUUUAGGCUUAAUGAACAAAUGCGUCCAAGAUUCAAUUCUUUAGUCAGAUUAACAUUUGUACUCCCCCUGAUUUUCUGUGCAAACAGUGUCUCCUUUGCUAGCAGCCAAAACAAAGCUUCCUACAUCACUACAGUGGUUUGUAAACAGUUCUAGUUCUUGCUAAAAUGAGUAAUUUCUUCACAGGAUACAAAGGCACCAGUUCUACAGAUUUUAGGCAGAGCUGCUGCACUAGAUUACCGGAGGCUAUUAUUAAAAAAAACCAGACUGCAAGUCAGAAUGUGUGCAGAGAUCAUUUUGCGUUCAUGGAAAUAUGGGGUCCCAAGCAGUGCUUAAAAAAGAAAAGAUAAAAAGGAGAGAAUGGGAAACAGAAAGAAGAAAUCAAAUUUUUCAUUUGGCUCAAUUUUCAAAACACAGCUCCUUGGACUAGGCAGGCAGUGUGUCCAUCAAGUAGUUUAUAGAUCUGAACAAGUGCCCAUUCAGUGACUGUGGGACUAAUACUGUUCUCAUGCAAAUAUAGGUUGGGCUUUCAGGACCUUUCUUGCAUCAUUCUGGAUAUUGGAUUGUGGCAUCUAUGCAGAUGUGGGCUUUUUUGUUUGGCUAGGUUUUGAGGCAUUGAGCACCAAAUUCCAGGGGGUUCAAGGCAAGGAUUAAGGGAUUCCCUGAUUCGUGUGGCACCAAAGCACUGUUUGCUGCAAAUUCCUUGUAAACAAUGCAGUGUAAUCCUAUGCAUGUUUCUUUUGAAGUAAGUCCCUCUGCUUAUAAUGGGUGUAAGUAGCAUAGUUAAAACCUUUAUGAUAGGCAUGAUCAUAAAUGACAAUCUGAAAGAGCUCUUAUCCUCUGUGGUGAUCAUAGAAUCAUAGAAUCUUAGAGUUGGAAGGGACAAGACAACCUGUUUGCACUUGCUACAAGUGUGCUGUUGCUUGUUCUCUGGCAGAAUGACAAACAUGGCACUGGUGUUACAGGUCAUUGCAGCAGCUCCCUCACCCUCCAUGUCUCUGGUCCUGUCCACACCAAGACACACAACUCUGUGCCUCCCCCUUAAACUCCCCUGCUAAAUGCCCUCACAAAUAUCCAUGUUUGCGAGCUCCCAGGAUCUGCACUGAGCUAAGUCUGACUUCUGCUGGUUGCUAACUCCUCCCUCAGCCUGGCUUCCUCUCAGCUGUAACUCCUCCCUCUCAGAUACUGUGUUCCUACAGAGCAAUCAGCCACACACACCCUCAGGCUCCAAAAGACACAAGCUCACUCUCUUCAGUCUCCUCCAGCAAUCGUUCUCCCUGUUUGUGAUGUCUGGUUGCGAGCUCUGAAAUGCUCUUUUAAAAAUUGUGUACCAACCACAUAUCUUAAAACGAUCAUCAGCGGGAAGGGAAGUAAAAAGGAAAAUAACUCUUAAGGAGGGAUGGAAAGGAAGGAUUUCAAAGUCCAUUAGAGUCAGCAGUGUUUUCCCAAUGUUUCAUUCACUUGUAGCCAAGCUAGAAAUGAUGAAGGAUGAAUUUACAUCCUUUGGUUUUCUGCCAUGAUUCUGUAAUGAUGUAGUUUCACAGCUGAAUGGCAAAAUUUAGCUAUAAGUACUGGGCUAAUUGGAAAAUGCAAACUGUACCUUGAGAUGGAAUGUCUAAUGACUCUGUGAGCAUAUUUUGUGGGGUGGCAGCAUUUCUCAGAGUUGUGUACCAUGUUAGUGCAAGGAAUAAUGGCUGAUAUAGUGCGUAUAUGUUUUUAAAAAAAUGUUGAGAGUGAACAUUUGGUAUAAAAUGGCAUUCUUAAGAGCGCUUAGCACUAAAAUAUUUGUUUCAUUUACUUUAGCUAUUGGCUUACUUGCUAGCACUAUUUCACUAUAAUAGAAAAAUGGUAGUGCUUGGAAAUUAACUCCCCCCUCCCUAAACUGACUUUUAAAGGGUCGGUGUAUCACAGCCACCACUGAACAGGAAGCAAUAACCUGGCUGAACCUGUUAAGAGGAAGGAUUUAAGGUUGUAAAGGUGGCGCUUGGUGGGGCUUUGCUGAAUGAGCCUCACCUCAACUGACUCAUUAUAGAAGGAUCUUUGCCACAGGGAAAGAUACUGCUAGAUAGAACAGCAGUAUAUGGAGUUCAGAAGCUCGGAUGAAAGUUCUAAAGAUGACUGCCCAUCUAUAUAUUUGGAACUUUCUUGCAUCAUUCUGGAUCAUCAUUCAGCCAGUGUGAUGUAGUGGUUAAGAGCGGUAGUCUCGUAAUCUGGGGAACCGGGUUUGAGUCUCCGCUCCUCCACAUGCAGCUGCUGGGUGACUUUGGGCCAGUCACAUUUCUUUGAAGUCUCUCAGCCCCACUCACCUCACAGAGUGUUUGUUGUGGGGGAGGAAGGGAAAGGAGAAUGUUAGCCGCUUUGAGACUCCUUAAAGCGAGUGAAAGGCGGGAUAUCAAAUCCAAACUGCAGAAUAUACUAAACAGGCUUAUAUGGUCUUCCGCAGUGUUGGUGGGGAAAUCUCAGUUCUACUUUUUAAAAUAAAGAUCACAGCUGAUGACUGAAGGUACUAUGUACACAAGCGUAGCAACUAUAUUUGAUUUUAAGGAGGCCUGGAAAAAAUGGAAAUUCAUUUGCAGUUGUGACCUGAAAGCAUGAAAAGAAAAAUGGCAUGACGAUAAAUCAAAGCUGCCAAAUCAAGAAACAUCUUUUAAUCAAGUCAUGUCCAAGUUCCUAUUAAUGUGCCCCCCCAUCUAUUUGAUAGUACAAAACUGUAGCUGGCAUAUUCACUUUCUCCGCUUUUGGCCUUACCCUCAUGUAAUGCUAAGCCACAAAGCUUCGUUUAUUAAGCCAUACUGUGCAUGAGCUGCAUGCUGAUAGGCAGCCUGAGCUCUGUCUGCUUUGUUGUUCCUUUUGCCGCAAGUAGGUAAACAAACCACAGAGGGGGCUAGCCUAAUAUUAUGACCAGACCCAGUAUGAUGGUGUGUUACACCCUGACAAACCACGGUCAGUAGCCAGCCUGACUACUGGUCUUUGCUAGGGUGAAAACAGACCUGUGAUCCUGGUUUCAGACAUAACCCUAAGCUUUAUCACUUCAUGGUUUAUUGCCCACCUGCAUGAAGGAAGGAAUGAAGAGGGAAGGCUCCAGUGGUGUGCACCAGCAUGUUGGAGGUGCACACUACAGUCAUACCUCAUGUUACGUCUGCUUCAUGUUACGUUCUUUCAGGUUACAUCCCGCGGCGACCCGGAAGUACAGUGGUAUCUCGGGUUACAGACGCUUCAGGUUACAGACUCCGCUAACCCAGAAGUAGUACUUCGGGUUAAGAACUUUACCUCAGGAUGAGAACAGAAAUCGCGUGCUGGCGGUGCAGCGGCAGCAGGAGGCCCCAUUAGCUAAAGUGGUACCUCAGGUUAAGAACAGUUUCAGGUUAAGAACGGACCUCUGGAACGAAUUAAGUUCUUAACCAGAGGUACCACUCUACCGGAAAGGGUUACUUUCGGGUUUCGCCGCUCACGCAUGCGCAGAAACGCAAAAUGACACAAUGUGCAUGCGCAGAAGCACUGAAUUACAACCCACGCGUGUGCAGAGGCGCCACUGCGGGUUGCGUUCUUUUCAUGUUGCGAACGGGCCUCCGGAAUGGAUCCCAUUUGCAACCAGAGGUACCACUGUACGUCCAUAAACCAAGCUUUGUGACUUACAGGCAGAUGCAGGCCCCACCCUUUCCCUUGCAAUGAAGCUUACUCUCAUGUCAGAAAUGUUAAUUGGGUUUUCAGCCUUGGAGAGCCACGUUUUAAAGCAUCUGACAAUAUUUAUGGCUUAAGUUUUGACAGAUUCACAGUCUUAUCUGCCAGUGUGGAAUAUAUGAAUGUUUAGAAUUGCCUUCUCCCGAGCCAGGCCAUUGAUCCAUCUAGCCUGGCGUUCCCCACUCUGAAUGGCAGCCUCUCUCGGGCAGAAGGCUCUUCCAGCCUUGCUAGCCAAUAUCUUUAAAACUGGAGAUGUGAUGGAUUAAACCUGAGGCCUCUUGUGUGUGCUGUGUCAUUGAGCCAUGACCCACCUUGAAGUUGUUUCCAGGGAUGGUGGCCGACAGACCCUGCUUCCAAUAUUUGAAGCUCUUGUCAGGGAUUGGCAGGAGGGAGAGGAAGGAAUGGUCACUUGAAAGUAAACACAACAACAACAACAACAACAACCCCAAAAUAACCCGAGUUUCAUCAUAAAUGUGCUGCUGUUAUCUUAGUGCCAUCCGGGCAAGGCUUGGUUGGGGAUAAACCCACUACCUCAAUCAGCAGAAUGAGCAGGGGAAGUAUAAUCAUCACAAUAAUUUUAUUAUUAAUUGCAAACUAAGCAGGACUGGGUCACCCCAUUUUGCUGUAAGACACAUUAUCUUCUAAAGUAGGUGCACUCAUAAAACCAUUGUCUAACUAAAGGACUAAAGUGCUAAUACCCAAAUGAGCUACAAUAAUUACAGGGGGGGGGGAGUAAGACUUUCUAGGGUCACAGCCACACUAUACAUUUAAAGCACAUUUAAAAAGCAUGGCUUUUUAAAGAAUCCCAGGAGCUGUCAUUCACCCCUGUUCCACACAAGCUGAUGCCAUAAUAUAUUUGCUGGUUUUUAAAGUGUCUCAAUAGCAAACUAGCAUGGCUACUCUUCUGCAUAUAGGAAACUUGUUUGAACUGAGUGAUUAUUUACUUAAAAACAGGACUGUUUGGUCUUGCUGAUUUUAAAACAUAGUUUUAAACCAGUCCACCACAUUGAAUACAUUUGCACCUUCUCUGUUUCAUCAUUUUGAAGGACAUCUAUUGGCUACUAACACCAAGAUCAGCAAGGAUGGGUAUCAACAGAAGUAUUUCAUUGACUAGGAACUGGAUCACUUGCAAAGCAAUGUACCAGCAAACACUGCCUCUUCAGUGUCCUCCUUUCACAAAGAGUAAUGAAAAUACUGGGUCCAUCCAGUGUCUGGCUAACUUUGUGCAUCAAGUCUUGCCAAAAAGCUUAAAUAGGAGAAAGCCAAUGGAGCAGGGCUUCGCUAUGCCACAAGCAUACAGAAGAAAGCUUCCCUUUCUUGAUAGAUUACUACCAAUUCACAGCCAGGUACAUAAAAAAGGGGCUGCCAUAUACAGUCCAAGGAUUUUGGAACGGUACGCAUGCAUCAUAAACAUUUUGCAAAUGUGGUUUAUGUAUUGUAUAGCUUGAGUCUGUUUUCUGACAAGUUUAACAGCCCUGUUCUCCUGACUGUGUUCUCUGGGAAGACCCAUUGAUUGUACUGCAACUUCGGCUACAAUUCUACCCACAAAUUUACCUGGAAGUAAUUUUCAGUGAACUCAUUAAGACACACUUCUGAGUAGCGAAGUAUAGUGGUUAGAGUUUCUGGCUAGGACCUUGGAGACAAGCUGGACUAUAAAUGCAACAAACAAAUAAGGAAAAUAAAUACAGUGAUACCUCAAGUUACAUACGUUUCAGAUUACAGACUCCGCUAACCCAGAAAUAGUGCUUCAGGUUAAGAACUUUGCUUCAGGAUGAGAACAGAAAUCGUGCUCCGGCGGCGCAGUGGCAGCAGGAGGCCCCAUUAGCUAAAGUGGUGCUUCAGGUUAAGAACAGUUUCAGGCUAAGAACGGACCUUUGGAACGAAUUAAGUACUUAACCCGAGGUACCACUGUAAAACAGGCAUGCAUAGGGUUGUACUGUCAGGGUGGAGCCGCAAGUGCAACAUGUAAUUGCAUAUAUACAGCAGAAGCUCAGUGAUGGUUACUUGUUGUGGUCUUAUGACUAUCACUUGCUGCAAUUGAAAUCAGUUUUGGAGAGGAAGCCUUGGAGAACAUUACACAAAUUGCUGAAACAAUGUUGUUUCUACCUCAUGACAGCAACUGUGUGUAUUUUUAAAUUUCCCUGUAGCAGCACUAUUGCUAAGAAGUCUUUUCUCCCAAAUCCUUCCUUUCUAGAAGAGAGUGUGUAAGGGGGCUUUGGUGUCAAAAAUACUAUUUUGAGAGUUCAUAAGGGUGUAGUUGCGGCUUAUGUGGUGGUUGCGCUCCUGAUAUGGGUGUUGCUGCAGCUUACCUGCAUGAGCACCUGUGGAGGCAAUCUGGAGGCAACCUGUGGAGGCAAUUUGGUGUGCCUGCCCUAUCCCAUCCCACAGCUGUUCAGGUGAGCUACAGUGGAUGAUGAUCCCCAGAGGGUGGCUCUGUAGUCCACUGCCACCACAACUACUACUACAAGAGUCACUACUGCAGGAAUGUCCUGCAGUUUUCAAAACUGGUCUUUAGACUGGGAUCCACACACGUUGCAGAAAACCAAGUCAUUUGAGUAAUUCAACGAAAUGGUAGAAGGUGGUAGAAUGGACUGCAUCAUAUCAGACUACAGGAGUGUGAGUGGUUAUGUGUAAAUAUGAAUCUGUCUGUUGACUUUUGCAGGGGCUCUCACAAUCCAGGGCAUUAUAUGAAAGCAUGCAAAAGCUGCUGAAGCUAAACGGGUCAGGAUCUUGGUCAACGUUUAGAUGCAAGACCACCCUGGAUUUCAACAUGUGUUGCUAUGGUGGAAAGGUGGGAUAAUAUGUAGGUGUGACCAUUUAGUCUAGGAAGCACGGUCCCCCUGCACACGUGCACACACAAUCUGUUCAUCCAUUUGUUACUACAGUGGUACCUCGGGUUAAGUAUUUAAUUUGUUCUGGAGGUCCAUUCUUAACCUGAAACUGUUCUUAACCUGAAGCACCAUUUCAGCUAAUGGGGCCGCGCCGCCGGACCACGAUUUCUGUUCACAUCCUGAAGCAAAGUACCCGAGGUACUAUUUCUGGGUUAGCGGAGUCUGUAACCUGAAGUGUAUGUAACCCGAAGUACCACUGUAUUGCGAUAGGAUUUUGUUAGGUGGUAACUGAAUGCGCUUGGUACUGAACUAGUCCCAGACCAUACAAAUUCAAGGUCAGUGCAGGGGCUGCGUUGUGAAUGUGAAAGUCCCCACAACUGCCAAACGCUUUGUAUUCCCCUGGCAACUUAUUUUUAUUUUUAUGCAGAACAUCAGUCACACAUGGUACAUGUUGACUAUUUAGUGAGCGACUAAAUUUUGUUUACAAAUUUCCAAGGAAAAGCAGCAGCUGUGUAUGAAUCAUGUUUCCCUGGCACACUCAAGUGCUGAGGAAAUGGGUUCAGAAUUACUCAGACUUUUCACUUUUGGUACACUCAGAUAUAAUUCUAGUGAAUUUUGAAAUUGUAGACCAAGGAUGGAAGUAGCAUCCUGCUAUGGGCAGGAUUCAUCUAAGGACUUUAGCUUGCGCAGUGAGGUUUUCUUCCUCUCACUCCCUGCAUCCCCCCAAAAUGACUUGGGGUAUGUAUGUCAGGAUAACUCUCAGAGCAUGGCAUGGCAGAAGGAGAGCGGGGAUUUUUCCAUCCGGGAAGCUGGAAUGCUUGUGCAGAUGGAGUGUUCGUAAUAGUGCAACAUUGAAUUCCAUCCAUAAUAUUUUUAUCUGGCACUGGCUACAGUUUUGCGACCUCCCUGAGCAGAAAACCCUAUAUCUGUAUUGCUUCUGGUUGCAUUUUAUGUCUCUGGCAGCUGAGAUGUUACUGUAAUGGUACAGAAGAGAUCUCAUUAUAAGCAGAUGCAAUAUGGUCAUUGAGGCGCAUGGGCUUACUUUGGGUGUCCUCUUUUUCAAAGCAACUGCUUUAUGAAAUGUAGGAUCAUUCUGGAUUUUUCAGUGUCAGCAUUGCAGUACUAUUAUUGGUAGUGUUGUUUUCCUUUCUAAAAAAUUGCUGGUUUUCUUUUUUGGAUGGGGGGGGGGGCGUGUAUGAGCUGAAGUAGGGAUGCCUGAGAAGUUUGCUUUCUGCAAGUUCCAGUAUGGAUGGACCUGAACUACACCUCCCAGAGUAACAUGAGGAUGGGAACAUCCUUUGCUGGCCCCUCCUGAUUCCUGUGAAGUCAGAUUCAGCUCCCUCUGUUGGCUAUGCCGUCUUGGAGCUACAGCUGUGUUCAGUUCUCCUUGUGAAGAGUGCUUUUAUGUUCCUGUCAUCAAAUACCAAAGAAAAGCAGGCUCUGAACCAUGGCUAUUUCUUGUUUCAAUAAAGAUCACAUUUUAGCUAUGGUAGAUUCAGUUCUUCCUGCCACCCCGCCGUGCUCUGAACCUCUGAAUUGAGUGCCUCAACCCAUUUUCUAGAUCGUUAACUUCUUCUCUUCUAAUAGAGAAGCCUCCCUUCCUAAAGGAUAGCUUUCUGCGAAAUAAAGACAGAUAGUCCUUACUUGCAGUAAUUUUCUUGUUCACUUCAUCCAGGCAGAAUUCUGUUUAUAAUCAAUACCUGAUUUAUUUAAGGCUUGCCAUGCAGUAUUGACUUUUUGGUAGUUGUAUAACUCCUUGCCUAUUAUGUGUCUGGUGAAGUCUUUCAAAUUUCUCUUUGCCUCCUUCAUUUUUAACUGUUUAAAUUCUAGUUCAUUUGCUAACCAUGGCCUGAUCCUUACUUCUUAAAAGGCUGCAUUUCCCCCCCCUCACCCACCUUUGACAAAAGAAAGACACUGAAAUAUUUUAUUUGAGGGAAUUAUUUUCGGUGUCUGAACGUUUAUAAGAUGUAUUGCCUCCACAGUAAGCCAUUCUUCCUAUUUUUUAAAAAAUGUGCUGGUUCUGAUGUAUUGCAAUGCAAUGAAUGACUAGCCUUGCAGUUGUUAUUGUUAUUAUUAUUAUUAUUUUAGAAUACGACCUGUGCUAGUUUGGAGACCCACACCAGCUUCUGGUUCAAGUGGGUUGACAGGCAGCAACUUCCCCAGCUUCUAAUCCUUGACUACCUGGAGCCUGGCUGUUUUUGAGCCAAUUAGGUAUAGUGGUUAGGGUACAGAAUAGCCAGUGCAGUGCUUUCAAGAUGCAGUUGCACUCCAGUUCCCAUCAUCCUCACCAGCAUGGCCAGCAGUCAUGCUGAAUUGGAAUUGUAGCCCAACAAUCUCCAUAGGGUACCAUUUUUGCUGCCCCUUAAUUGGAGUGUCAGACAUGGUCCAAAUCUCCACUUAGCCAUGAAGUUGAAUUACAGUGCAAUCCUAGUCAUAUCUGGCUAGGCUGAAUUUUUCUCCCUAAUAGUGCACUUCCUUGAUGUUUCUUAUCUCUCUUCAGUGUUGCCAUGUCACCCUCUCAACCAACAAAACAUUCAAACACCAUAAGCUGAAGAAAUUGAAAACAAAAAUAAGUACAGGUCACAAAUAGCUCAGGUUCUUUUUUUUGUAAUGUUUUGUGCUUAGCUUAAAAAUAAAAUAAAAUAUGUGAGGCCAGAUCAGUGAAAUAAUCAAACCAAAAUAGCAACAGCAGACUCAUUUCCAUGUCAAAUAAUUUUUACUAUUUCCAUUAUCCAGUUAAUUUAAUUAGGAGGUGCUUGUUAUCCUUGCAACAAGCAAUACUUAAUGUAGUCAAAUGACACCCUUAAAAAAUUUCAACUAAUUGUCCACCACAGUUUUCAGUAUGAAUUACUAGCAGUGAUGGUUGAAUCCCUUCGCCCGCCUCCAGUUUGACUCAUAAUUAGCUGGGUUCUUCUGAACUUCAUUAAAGAAAGGACUAUUGGGAAAAGCUUGUUUUCCCCAGCCCUGAGCUCAGAAUGUUCAGUAAGAAAGACCAGAACCUGGGGCACAUCUGGGAAGCUCUUUGCCACCAGCCAAACAAACUUCUUUGACUGAAGAGCAGGAGGGCCAGCGGCAGGGAGAAUGGACUAGUGAGCACAGAAUAUUCAUUCAUUCCUUCAUUCCUUCACUCAUUCACUGCCUUUCUCCCUGAAAUGCACGCAAAGUGGCUUACAGUUAGAAAUACAGCUAAAAGCACAGAAAAAAAUCAUUAAGCAUCAAUAGAAUCAAAACGAUAUAUGUAUGUGUGUCCUCUCUCUCUCUCUCUCUCUCUCUCACACACACACACCCCUAUUAAAAUCAUACAAUUACAAUCAAAACAGCAUGGCACCAGUCCUUUCAUUAAAAGCAGUCAGUUUCCAAAAGCCUGUUGGAACAAGAAAGCCUUCACCUGCUGGUGGAAGGACAACAAGGAGAAAGCCAGACUAGCUUCUCUAGGGAGGGAGUUUCAAAGUCCAGGAGCAGCCACCGAGAAGGCCCUCUCCCGUAUACCACUUUGAAUUGUGCCCAGAAACAGACCGGUAGCCAUUGGAGCUGUUGCAACAAGGGAGUCAUGUGGUCCCCAUAUCAACAAUAUUUAGGCCUCCACCUUAAGGCCUGGACACUUCUGACCAUGCUCAGAAACAUCCAUUGCCACUGUGGUGUAUGAGAAUUGUAGCUUCUGUCCAUCCUAGCAGCAAUGGAUGCUCCUGAACAUGCACAGAGAGAAAGAGUGAGUCCAGGCCUUGAGGAGACCUAAAUCCCUCUGUUAUUGCCAGUGAACAGUUGGGAGGACUAGCUGGCAGUGAUCCUGUUAUGAGUUGAACCUGAACUCUGAUGAAGUUGUGGGCUCAAGUGUCACUUGUGUUCACUUUUCCAAGUGUCUCCACGCCAAAUUUAUUUAACUAAUUAGGGUAAGUAAUUAAAGACAAGAACCAAAUUUGCUCUCUUUCCUAUCCACUGAUUCCAUUUGUUCCAGCUCAUCCAUGAACCAAUGUCCUUAAUCCAUGAAUGUUGGCCAAUCCAUGAACCAAUUUGGGCUGUAAGAAUGUUUAACAAACACACUUUAAGGCCAAGAAUGGAUUCAUUCAUGUACUUCUUUGUACUGAAAGAAGAGUAAAGAGGGAAGGCAGGGCCGGUGGGGGCAGGGCGCUGAAGAGGAAAAGGAAUAUAGACUCCCUUUUAAAAGAGUAGCAUUGUUCCUAUACUGUUUGUGUGAAUGUUUACAGGGUGCCUUUUGUCCUUCACAGAGAAUAUAGCUAUUAGCAGUUGUCAAGUGAUGAACAGGGUGAGCAGGACCUUGGGCAUAUUGAUCUGAGCUGCUUGACCACCCACAAAAUCUACUUAUAUUCGUUGGACAAAAUUGAUUUGAAUCCAUGCAUUCCAGCUUGUGGAUUGGACUGAACAUUUUUAAAUGUCACGCUCAGUGUGACAAGCAGUCUUAUCACUCGUCUAAGUCAUUGAUUUUUAUUUUAUGUUGAAAAGAACAUUUUGUUUUCCUGUUAAUUAUGUGGCUUUAGAUGUCUGCUUUGCUUUUGACCUUCACCUGCUAUGUUUAAUUUUGAUACUUUGUUGCGCUUUAGUUGAUUCUUUAAGAUUUCUUUUCUCCUUAGAUUUGAUAUCCUCCCCACCCCCCCAAAAAACUCUGAAAAUAUAUGUAAAGCAGUGGACAAACAAAUAAUAAAAAUAAACAUGGCGGUGCUUUUGAGAUGUGCUACACAUUCUGAAUGUGUGUUUGUGAGAAGCAAUACCUUGCAGCAGUUAUUUCUGAGCUGUGUUUCAAAAAUUAAAGCCGGGGAUGGAAAUUGUAUGGAGCAGUAAAUCUGCCCUUUGCACAUUUAUCCCCUUUUAAAUUGCUUCUUUGCCCAGUGGGACGCCGAAGUGCACGGCUGCCAUGUAGAAUCUUGGCUUUCAGUGCUGGAGGCAUGGAAGAUCAUUUUGUAAUGGAAGACAGCAAAGAGGCACGAUACAUACUGGCUCACUGUAUCUUUUCCAUUAGGCAUGGUCUACUCUGGGGACAGAAGGGAUUUAAAACCAAAACAAUGCUUUUUAGCUUGUGCUGUCUGUGCUGGAAUUACUUUUUGAUUCUUUCCCAACAAAGUAAUAGCAUGCAUAUGGGGGUGUACACAUGUGCUUCCAAGUCGAGAGAUGACAGAUGUUGGUAUUGGAAACAGAUAAACUUGUCCUAAUCAAAAGGUUUGAACUAGUCUCCCCAAAAAUGCUUCUGAUUUCAUCUAGGAAGGGGUGUGUGCCAUGUCUUGAGACCUUUGUAGCAUGGGUACAGAAGCUCCAUCGCUCCUGAUAUUAUUGAGCAACAUCAUCCCUGACCGUUGGUCAUGGUCGCUGAGGCAGGUCCCACCCUCCACUUUGCCGGGCUGUAGCUGUUCCAAGGGAAGGGAAUUCAGUAAUGUUUGCACUAGUAAAUGCAUCCUCAGUGUCUUGUUUGCCGGCUUUCCAUAGGAAUGACUUUGGCCACUGUGAGAACAGGAUGUGAAUUAGAUGUCCAUUUGUUCUGAUGCAGCAGCGGUCUUCUUUUAUGUACGAAUGCACAGUCCUGGCAAAGGAAACCAUGCAAAGCCAGGAGGUUGUGGAUCAAGUGAACAGUCUGGGCUGGAGGGAGUGGACAGGAAGGACUCAGCAAGGAACAGUUCUAAAGAGAGGCAGGCCUUUCAGGACCUCGGACAGAGCCCCAGGUACAGACAACUGCUUGGGCACAAGUUCAGUGUUAGCUGAGCCCUUUUAUGCUCCUUGGCCCUGACUAUCUCUUAGGCCCCACCUCCUUGCAGAAGGGUGCAGAGCCUUAAAGGGACAGCCCUGUGGCCUGGAGACUGGCCAUCUGUCACUCCUCCAAGAUCUCAUGCUUUCAGCAGCACCUGUGGCAAGCCAGCUUGGUGGAGUGCAAGCUGACUUGCCAAAACUGAACUCCUUGCAGUGUGUGAUGAGAAUGCCAAACCUGUCAUAGAGCCAGGCUCUGUGGAGGUCUCUGGCUAUUGGGAUCAGGCUCAGUAUUUCCCUGGCCAUUGUUGUGCUGUGAUGACAGGCUCCUGUUAAGAGCACAGGGGACACCACCCCAUAUAUAUAUAUAUAUAUAUAUAUAUAUAUAUAUAUAUAUAUGUGUGUGUGUGUGUGUGUGUGUGUGCACACACACACACACACACACACGGAUGGCACAGGGCUUCAACAGUACUAUAAGUCUCGCCUUCUCACCCAUUCCAAGCCCGGUUUUGUCAUCUAAUGAAGAUGGAAGGCACUGUGCUACUUUGAUGUUCUAUUUAAUGCUUGAUUGACCCAGUAAAUAAGAAUUAGGCAAAUUUUCCAGAAGCUAAUAUUCAUAAGGCCAAUGAGUGAUGAUCCUAUUGGGAAAGGGUUAAGUAGGUUCUGUUGAUUCGCUGUCACACUAGUGUAAUGAGUGUAGAAUCUGCUCUCUGGGGGAGUGGCGAAGGUGGGGAAUCUCUAUCCAAGAAGAGCACUCAUAUACAAAUAGCUGUACAGUAGCUCUAAUAAACUUGAAUAAAUUCUAUUAAUAUAUAUGUUAAUUAAGCUGCUCUUUAGGUUCUACACUCUGAGUAAUGGAGGGGAGGGGAGUUGAAUACAGAGCAGACUGGGGUGGGCACCUGUUUUCAUAUACCCCCAAAUCAGUGUGAAGUUAAGGUAAUUUGCAUAUGUUGUUCUGAUCCUUUACCAGCCGGGAAAAGCUGCUGAAGAACAGGCCAAAUGUUCACUGCCUGCAAAACUACUCAGUUAGCAGGUGCCAUUUUGCUUUAAGAAGUGCCACUGAAUUGUGACUCAGAACCCUCCCUGAUAACAAAGAAAUGCUUGUAAUUCCAAAUCUUUCUUGCAAUGAGUUGCAGUUAUCACUCAGUCUAGGACCCAGGUGGCCAAAUAUUACAAGAUCUCCACCUGGCAAGGGGAAAGUGAUAAUAAAAAUUUAUAUCUUUUUAUGGUGAAGGCCUUCAACACAGGGGAAAAAAAGGCAUUUGCAGAUUUCUUGCCUGCAAAAACGGUCACACUAAUAUCUAAGUACACAUUAUAUCACAUUCUCCAAUAACGUAACACUGAGGCCCCUGCUUUUGCUUUGUAAAGCAGUAGAGUCCGGACAGAUCCGAAGUGGAGAACAGGCAUGGGAAUGAGGUGUUCAGCCUCACUCAACAUGCCAUUGCCUGGUUUCCAGGGGGCAUUAGCAGACGACUUAUAUCCUGUAAAUUUGUUCUUCUAGGACAGCUUCUGCCAACCUGGUGUCUUCCUUGGGGGAAGCCAUGACUGUUAAAUGUAUGGUGCAGAUGUGGCCUUUGUCUAGGAUGGGCCAGGGAUGCUGCUGCUUUGAGUUGCUGCCGCCGCUACUCUUCAUCCUUCUACAGCUAAGCUUCAGUGUUCCACCCUCUUUUACAAGGAGGGAAGCGAUCUGGCAGCAAGGUUUCUGUAUAUGAAAGAAAGAGAGUGAGUGCUAUGAGUUUGCUUUUUGUAUCCCCAGCAGGUAGCAGUAGUGAUGAGAACAUGGCUAGUUUCUUUCUUUUCUUUCUUUUUGUAAGAGAGAGCUGCUUUUCCAUUCAUGGCUUCAUUCAUUCAUUUGAAGAACACUCUCAAGGUUGCCUGAAUAAAUGCUUGGGUUGUAGUCUGAGGAACAAGGAUUUAAGAACAUUAUGCAUCUUUGAUUGUGCCUUUAUGAGACUUGCAAUGAAGGAGCUGUCAAUUUCAGUUCUCUUCAGUCUCUAAACUUUUCCAGUCCUAAAUUCUGCAGCAAUUUGAUUUAUUUUUAUAAAAACCCUGGUGAAAAUUCACCAGCAAAUUAUUGCAAUUUCUCCCCAAUAAACACAUUUUUGUAUGCAGUUUUGACCAAUGUACACAUUUUUUUUGCAAAAAGCUUCCCCUAACAAAAUGCACCUUUGUAUGUAAUUUUCAGUUUUUUUUAAAUGUGCGCUUUCCCCUAAUACAUGCAUUUUUGUGAACAUCGCUUGGUUGAAGAACUGCACCUCAAAAUUUGGUGCUGUGGUUCUCAUAUUGUUUUGGAAAGUGCAAGUUGUUAUAGCUUAAUCUUUAAAUGCAAACUGAAUCCGAUUUCUCCCUUCAUCCCUAGCUGCCGUUUACCUGGGAAGAGGAGAGCAGUGAUACAAUCCUCUUCUCCAGAGUCCUCCUGUUUUGGGGGGCAAGUCGUUCCUUGUCUUUGGCCCUCAAUGAAUUAAUAUUUUAGGGGUGUCCACAGAAAGAAAGAAAUAAACAUUUGAUCAUCUGAAAAUGAGAUGCAAAAGAAUAUAGAAAUGGAAAUGAAGACUAUUGUAUAUGAAGCUGCUGAAUACUUCUAAAGGUAGCUUCUGCGUUUGAUUAACAUGUAUAUGCUAUAUGGGUGUGUCACACCUUUGGUUCUUACUGCUUUUUGAAGUCAAGCAGUAUUACUUGCUGUGGAUCAAUUUCCCAGAUUUUAUCUCUGCUUUGAAUUCAACAGGAUCAGAAGGUUUGCAUCUCUUCUCAAGCCUGUGAAAAUAAGAAGUCCUGAAAUGUUUAGGAAAUAUUAUGUGGCUGCAGUCCAACUCCCUUGUCCCAUCAGUGCAAGGAUUUCUGCACAGGAAGUACAAAAACUGUUUCAUGAAUGCCUCCCACUGGCUGUGUUAUGCGACACCAUUAGUGUGAACAAUUAAACCACAAGGCUGCAUGCAGACAUCCUUAAAGAAUGGGGCUUGCUUUUCUUUCCCCCUGUUAGAAGCUUGACCCUACUUUCCAGCUUAUUUUACAAACAUACUAGGUAGCAAAUAGAAUUCUGAUUCUAUUCUCCACCCUCCUGACUAUUAACCUUUUAAUUGCCAUAUGAAUGUGCCGUUUCUAUUUGUUUUUAAAAACUAAAUUUGAAGAAGGAAAACAUUUUUUUCUGGGAAGUGACAUCACAUUGGGAAAUGACAUACGCUGUGGCAUCAUGGGGGUCAGCCUAUCGGGGUUCUCCAGUGCUGGCUUCUGGUGCGAACAUUUGUUCCAGUCCUUGUAUAUGGCCAUCUGAUCAGCUCUGUAUGCUUGCUGCUGCUGUUCCUCAUUCUAUGAGAUCAAAGGGCAUGGAAUAUACAUCACACAACACUCAUAUGCCUGUGUGGUUAUUUUUAAUGUGCUACGAGCUACCUUGAGCAUUGGUUUUCCCAUGGAAGGGUGGGAUAUAGUCUUAAAUAAAUAAAAAUUAAGAAGUUGUGUUUGUGUGUUUUCUACGCACAUAGAGUUCAUCAGAGGAUGGAUCACUCUUAAUAGACUGGCUGCACUUUUAUGCUUCCCCUGAAGCUACUGGCAUUUCCCAAAGGCAGGAGAGUGGGCAAUGGGUUGUCAUAAUGCCCCAGUGGCCCCAGUUACCUCCCCUCUCUUCUUCCCGGUAGCUUUGUACAAGCUCAAAGAGAAAGUGUUUGAAGUUCUUUUGCCAGCAAGCAAUGAGCAACAACUUGAUUCCAAAGACGCAUUUACAAAGGGGAGAGGGAACCUGUAGUGCUCCAGCUAUUGUGAGACUAGCAACUCCCAUCAUUCCUAGCCAGCAUGACCAAUGGUCAGGGAUGAUGAUAAUCUGGAGGCCACCAGGUUUCCCCCUUCUGAUUAUCUGACUGAUGAUAAUCUAUCUUUAUAUUAGUUGUGCAAAAAUACUUUUAGGAAUGCUAUCUAUCAUACGAUCAGAGCAGAUGGGAAUUGGUGGCCCAACAUCUGGAAGUGCCUCUUUUCGACUGGACAACUAAAAGGUUCCAUGAUAACUUCUAGAAACUGUCUCAGGCUGACACUGAAUGUUUUAAAUCUCACACGAAGGGUUCCUGUAUCUUUGCCUCUCUCUCUUUGCCUUUUUUGGAUACUCUCUAAAACGUAUUGCAAAUUCCCCUCAUUGACGGGGAAAAGGUGAUAGUCAUGGAAAUUUCAGGGGCAUAGAAAACCACACUUUGAAAAUGUGGCGAUUAUGAUUCCCCGUGGCAGAUUAAGUAGUUUUUAUAGUUUGGAACAUUAAUUAAUAUUUAUGGAGCCUUGUGUUGGCAGGAUGGGCCCUGAUCACUGGCUCCUGCAGCUUCAAAUCCAUUUCAAUUAUAACUUUGUUACUGUGUAAAUGUCACAUAUACAUUGCCAAUGUAUACAUUAGCAAAGCCGUGCAAAGGAUGAAACAUACCAGGAGAGAGUUUCUGCUUGCAUGGCUUUAGUCAGUGCUGGCAUCGGCUUCAGCAGUAAACACUCCUAAUUAGGGCUCUGCAGAAGUUUAUAUGCCUGUGUACAAUUAUGGGCUCUAUGUGGCCAAAUGAAGGACAUAAACUGCCUAGGAACCUAGGCUUCUCCUGGGCCAGAGACUAUUGGUUCCUUAGUAUUGUCUAUGUUGCCAGGGUUUCAGACUGGGUUCUUUCACCCUGGAUAUGCUGGGGAUUUGAGCUUGGGGCCUUCUGCCUGUAAAGCAGAUGUCCUACCGCUGAGCUAUGACCCUUCCCCAAAGGAAAAGGGCUUCUCCAUCUCCAUGAUGCUAACUGGGAAGAAAGCUAAUCAGUAGGUCAUCUUCUCACAGCCAAGAUGUUGGCUUCCCAAGUUGCAUUGUGGGUGGUGUUGGUGGUGAAGGGAGUGAAGUGGCUUAAGUAUUAGGCACCACUCAUAAUGAAUCCCCAGCAUGCCCAGGGGUGGGAACAUGUCUCCCUGUUUCGAAGGGAGAGGAAAACCACCUGCCUGCCAACUACCUAAAAGCCAGUGCUGAAAUCUGGUGGUGAUGGUGAGCCAUGCAAGAUAAGGGAUGGCAAAAGAGAGAACUGGCAGGAUGGUGGGAAGAAAGUCAGCAAAGCAAUGGCUUGGUGCACAGUGCACAGGGUAGUUGUUUAAUGCAAGGGUAGGCGACAAAGCUUUCCCUUGGAGGAGCAUAAGAAGAGUUCUUCUGGAUCAGACCAAAGGGCUAUCUAGUCCAGCAUCCUGUUGUCACAGCAGCCAACUAGAUGCCUGUGGGAAACUGGCAAGCGGUACUUGAACACAAGAGCACUUUCCCCAGUGAGAGCCAGUAUGGUAUAGUGGCUAAGAGCGGCAGUCUCGUAAUCUGGUGAACCAGGUUCGUGUCUCCGCUCCUCCACAUGCAGCUGCUGGGUAACCUUGGGCCAGUCACACUUCUCUGAAGUCUCUCAGCCCCACUCACCUCACAGAGUGUUUGUUGUGGGGGAGGAAGGGAAAGGAGAAUGUUAGCCGCUUUGAGACUCCAUAGGGUAGUGAUAAAGUGGAAUAUCAAAUCCAAACUCUUCUUCUUCCCUCCUCACCAGCAUAGCUCAUUGACCAGGAAAGAUGUCUGCGCAGCAUUUUUGUCUUUUGGUAUGGUGGCUUCUGGGAAAGGAGUAACGGUAUUUGUAGGGUUUGUCAUUUUGAACUUUGUGCCAAACCAUGCCAUAAACGAUUGUUUCUACAGCACUGUAAACUAUGGUUUCAGACUCAUAUCAAGUAGUAGUGAAGUCUCCUUUAUCAUGGUUCAUAUGAUGUCUGAACUAAGGGAUGUCUUUGUGUGGCCUCUGCAACUAGUCCUGGGUGGUGCCUUUCAACGAGGUACCCUCCAGAUGUUGUCAAACUUUUAUCAGCCCUAACUAACAUGGCCAAUAGUUAAGGAUGAAGGGAGUAGGGACCCAGCAACCUUUGGAGAGCCCCACAUCUGGGCUAGCCUGUCACCACGGCUUCCAUGGCUCUAUGACCACCUUCUGUGCAAUCUACAAAUCUAGAGGCUAAAAACAGAAGUCAUUGCAUUUCCGAGUCUACAUUUAGAUGCUUAAAUACAUGCUCUGAGUUUCAAAAUUGCUGCUGUUCAUCCUUCAACUCCUACUCAAACAUACCAAAAUAUCAUGUACUUAGUUUGAAACCUGGGACAGGCCCCUCUUUUAAGAAGGUAGGUGCACCUGACUUUUGUUUUGAAAUAAAAUUCCUAGUCUUGAACAACAAACAAUCUUAGCUGUUCCAUCAUAUAUAUUUUUUUAAAAAAUUAGUGAACUUGUCAAUGUACAUAAGAGAAUAUGUUUCUCAAAACUCACCUCACCACAUGAUCUUUAUUUCAUAGGAUUUUUCUUUCCUCACAGAUGCCUAGAAAACAAUGACUCUUGUGGUUAUUUGAUCUCACAAUCUUAUUUGUGAGAGGAUGUCUUCCAUAGAAUGGAUUUCUACUUUGUGAUUUUUAAGGGCAGUGCUAUGAAAUUGUAAGUUUCUGGUACCUUACAACCUAGUUGCAUCAGAAAUAAUUUUAUCCUCUUUGGUGCAAGUUCCCCCCACCUUCCUUUCAAAUUAUACACGCUGUGACUUUAAAGCAGGGGUGGCAGCCGGGGGGCCUCCAGUUGUUGUAGGCCUCCAUUCUGCUUAUGGCAUACUGUACUCUCAAUGUUGAUUAUCAUUCAUGGAGAUAAGCCAUUACCUGUGGCAUGGAGAUUGUGAUUAUUCUCUAAGGCAAGGGACAACCUUGCAGUGGGCAAUAUUUUGGAUCACAUAUGGACUCAUUGUUCUUUCCUUAAAUUGAAGAUCAAUCCAAACAGAAUGGCUGCAUUCAGUUUAAAAAAUUGUACCGUGGAAAGCCCUGAGCUUGCACACUUCUCCCCACCCUACAUCCUCAUGGAUAAAGGGAGGAAAAUUGAAUUUAUUGUGUAGUUUGAGGAAACCACUGUUUCCCAUAUUGAGACAAACUGGGAAAAUGUGGUUUGCUAGAAACUGUGGUUGAUUAACAGACUGACUCUUUGGGAUGGUUGUAGGGUUUUUUGAGGAUAUGGUGGUUUAGCUCCAGAUGAAGGGACCAGAAAGAGGCACCGAGGGGUUUCUGCUUGACGUCUUGCUAAUCAUUCUAUGAGAUCCUGUAGGACCUCAUUUUAUUUCUCCAUGAUUUUCAGCACUUAUAUGAGAGCACUGGGAGUUGGGGUCAUACCAGGGUUUGUCACUGAAGUGUCAUCUGCUCUAUUUCUCUUUGAUAUCUGAAUCGUGUUAGCUGUGCAGGUGCUAAACCAGUGUCUGAAUGUGGUAAUGAGCUGGAUGAGGGCUAAUAAAUUGAAGCUGAAUUCUGACAAGACGAGGCACUGUAGGUAGAUGCUUCUUGGGACCAGACAACUGAUAUACAACCUGUUCUCUAUGGCAUUGCGCUCCCCCUGAAGGAGCAGGUUUGUAACUAAGAUGUGCUUUGUCCCGCUUUAUCACCAGAGGCUCAGACGUCCUUAGUUGCACAGUUCACCAUUUUUCCAGCUUUGCCUGGCUUGCCAAUUGUGGCCAUUCCUGGACGGCGUAGUCUGGCCAUGGUGAUCCAUGUUUCGGUAACCUCCAAGUUGGAUUACUGCAAUCUGUUAUGCAUGAGGCUCUUGGACUACCUUUGAAACUUCAACUGAUGCAGAAUUUUAACUGUUACAGCCAGGUUUUGUUCAUGUUAUGCCAGUCUUAUUACAAUGUCACUAGCUUAGUUUUCAAACCCCAUUUAAGAUGGUGUAUUUAUUUUGAAGGCCCCAAAUACUGUACCAGCCUACCCAUGUUUUGAAAUUUUCUGCUGAAGCUCUCCUCCAAGAGCCUCCCUUAUUGGAAGUGCACUUUUAAGGAUAUGAAUAAUUCACCUCCUGGAAUCUACUGGAUGAAGCACAUAUAUAAGUGUUUUAAAUAAAUAUAUAAAAAAUGGCUUGUAAAAGUCAGUUUCGCAUACCUAAUGGAACGGGAAACUGUGGUUUGCUUUUCCAAGUCCUCAAUUGAAGUUUAAAUUUCCUCCCCUUGUAUGUGAAAGGAGAGGGAGAGAACCCCAUUGUUUGUUACAUCUAAAUAUAGUCAGUUGUUGUUCUUGAUGAUGGAUCUUUGGUCUGAUUCAGCAAAGCACAUUUUACUAAAAUGGUAACAAAAAUGCAGAAUUGCACUUAGUUUCUUUUCUUUGUUUUGCUGAAGAGAGCAGCUAAUGACGGCAUUCAGGUGGCUUUGACUCAAAUAUUAGUUGAAGACUUGAGCUGUCUGCUUUUCAUCUUCAAAGGGCUGCUAGAGAAGAAGCCUAAUCUUCUGGAAUUUAAAAUCCAUAUAAUGGGGGCAUUGGGGCAAGGAAGAAAUUAAUAGAUUAACAGAGUCAUCCUGUAGAAUAUAAGGCAGGAGAAGGGAAAGGAAAAAUCUGCACAGUAUUACAUUUUCUGCUCUCUUCCCACUAGUUCCUCAUGCAGUCUGAUUUAUCGAGGGUUUGGGAGAACAGAUAAGGAAUGGCAAAGGGUUUUCUUCUUUUUUAAAAGAAGUUCACUUUGAACUAUGUCUCUCUCAUGCAUUGUCUGUUUGCAGAACAGAGGGUGUCAAUCAAGUGCUCCCAGAACACCCCAGGAAAAAGUUAUUUCCUACAUGCAAAAUGGAAAUUGCAGUUUGAUGCCCUUCCUGUUCUUCCUAUAUCUAUUUUUUCCCAGCCUUGAGACUUGAUAAAUGAACAUUUUUACAUGACUUUAGCCCUGUGUUCAUUCUCUCUCUCUCUCUCUCUCUCUCUCUCUCUCUCUCUCCCUCCCUUCCUCCCUUCCUCCAGUUUCUCUGACUUUCUUCUGGGACAUUCAGAAUUGGUUCCCUUGAGACACUUUCUCUUUGUAGAAGCUCCUGAGAUUUAAGUAUACAGUGCUGGGAACAAAAUUCUGCAUCUGUGAACUCAUCAUACUUUUUUUUUUUUAAAUGUAUUUUUAUUAAAUAUUUUCUUAGUUUACAUCCUACAUUUUGAGAGUGGAAUACUUCUUCAAAGGACAUACUGGGCAAGGGCUAAGCAACAGCCUAUUUUAAUAUAUAUUAACAUAAACAUAUCUGUGUUGAUAUAGAAUGUAUUUCAGUCUCCAGAUGAGGAAAGAAGAGGUAAAAUGUUGAAGGAAACUAGCUCUCUUUGGAAGGUCUACUAGUACUUAUUUUUUUUAGUAGGAUUUGUCCUUUUAUAAAUAUUCUUGGAUGAUCAUGUUCAGGUAUUGUGUUUUUAUGAUAGUUUUAUAUUGAGUUUUAAUGUCUUUAAUAUAUUUUAUGCUGUAAGUCACUUUGGGGCAUUCUUUUGUGAUGAAUAAAUAUAAUUCUUAUUCUUAUUCUUAUUAUUGGAAAGUCACCACAAAGUGACACAUUCCCUGACGUUCCUCAGCUUUUUCUUGCAUUCGGUUAACACCUGAUAGUAAUUCUUUUUCCUUCAGGGUAGAUAAUUAUGUGAGGAAAUGCUAUUUAAGUAUUUAAUAUGAGGGAACGCUGUAAAAUUAGGCCUGUUUUCAAAACAUAGGCACUGUCUUUAUGUCUGUAAAGUAAUAUGCUGUUUUAUGGUGCUGUAUAAAUAAGGACAGCAAGACUUCCAUCCUGAGAUAAUGAGUUUGUGUCCUGAGGUAAUGAAUUGGGUAACUGUCACUGUGGGAAAAGAGAAAUGUUUCGUGUCUUCUCAUAAUGCAUCAUAAAUUCUCUCCUGAGUGAAAAAUUAAUUGUCCCUGUCUGAUUGAAUAUAGGUACUAUAGCUGAAAUAUGCCAUUAUCUCCCUAUAGGAGCACAUAUUUGGAAACAAACAAAGCUCAAUGUUUUUCCUUUCUUCUGCCCAUGAAUUGAAUUGUGGAGAUUAAACAACACAUUUGGGGGAAUGGAAGGUUAUGGAAAUCAGCUAGAAACCUGUUUUGUUUGUUCUUUAGAAUCACUAACUUUUCUUAAAAAUCAAAUGGGUAAGAGAUAGGGGAAGAUUAUUCUUUGUAAUAACCAUGAUAGAGGCUUAGUUCUGACAAAUUGCAGAUGAGGAGUUAAACCUGUGUCUGGGUGGCACAUGUGGUGAUCCUAUAGUUGCUGUUUGCUUGGAACUGCAAAAUCUCUAAUUAAGAAUAAAUGUCUUUUUACUGCGAAAAUUUCACUGCUCAGUAGGGGCCUCCAUGGAUCAGGAAAGCUGCAGCCUGGCCAUGGCCAUGGUCAAUGGUCAUACUUCCAUUUUAGUUGGUAAAGUGUUUUUGUGAGACAUGGCUUAGAUUAGAGAACCAGGAGCCCUAUCCAAGUUUUGAUCAGGGAUUAUGUUUUUGCUAAGUGUCAGUCAUUCUACAGAAGAAUAAUGAUAAUUUGGCUAACAGACUGUUGUUACACAAAGUGUACUAAGUUGUGUACUAAGGAACUGACUACUCUUGACAGGAGGACUUCCUAAAAUCUCAGCAGUCUUUCCCAGCACCUCUUUGAGACCUCAAAGUAAGUUUAAUAAGAAAAAAACAUACCACAUUUCCCAUCUAUAAGAUGCCCCCGUGUAUGAGUUUUGGGGGAACUCAGAUUUAAGAAAAUGGGGGGAGAUAGCCCAGAGUAUAAGAUGCCCCCUAAUCUUUGACAUUAUUUUUUAGGGACAAAACCUAGUCUUAUACACUGAAAAAUAUGGUGGAUGGCUUGAGCAAGCAAUGAAUGAUCUGGUGGUUCUGGUUUUGUGAAGAAGCAAAAGUGUUCUUUGACUUGGCAGAAGCAACCAUCAAGCUAGAAGAAAAUCUCUUUAUUUAACUCUUGGGGUGGUGGUGAAUGGAGCUGCCCAUUGUCCCUGCUCCCAAUCUCAACUUAAUGUAGCUGGUUGACGGAACAAACCCGAAGAGUGCUUGCUAAUGGUUCCUCACCAUCCUCAGUGCUGUGUUGCUGUUCAGUAUCUUUAUACAUGAUUUGGAUGAAGGAAUUUGAGGGGAUACCCAUCCAAAUUGCAGAUGACAUCAAACUCGGAGUGGUAGUUAAUGUCUCAGAAGACAAAAUCUGAAUUCAGAUUGGAGAACUGGGCCAAAACUAACAAAAUGAAUUUCAGUAACGGCAAAUGUCAGAUUCUACACUUAGGCACCAGUAUAAGAUGGGAGGACACUUAGCUUACUAGUAGUACAUGUGAAAAGGAUCUAGGGGUCUUAUGGACCACAAGCUUAACAUGAGUCAACAGUGUGAUGCAACAGCAAAAAAAAAAGCUAAUGCUAUUCUAGACUGAAUCAAUAGAAGUAUACAGUGGUACCUCGAGUUACAAACCCCUCAGGUUACAAACUCCGCUAACCUGGAAGAGUUGCUUCGAGUUGAGAACUUUGCUCCAGGAUGAGAACAAAAAUUGUGUGCUGGCGGCGCAGCAGCAGCAAUUGGCCCCAUUAGCGAAAGCACGCCUCUAGUUAUGAACAGUUUCAGGUUAAGAAUGGACCUCCGGAACAAAUUAAGUUCGUAACUAGAGGUACCACUGAAGUGUUCAGAUCAAGGGAAGUAAUAGUUCCACUCUUCUGCCUUGGUCAGACCACACCUGGAAUACUGUGUCCAGUUCUGGGCACCACGGUUUAAGAAGGAUAUUGACAAGCUGGAACAUGUGCAGAGGUGGGCAGCCAAGGGUCUGGAAACCAAGCCUUUGGAAUUGAGGGAGUUGGAAUUGAGGAACUGAUGGAGUUGGGUAUGUUUAACCUGGAUAAGAGGAGACUGAGAGGAGAUAUGAUAGGGCUAUCACAUGGAAGAUGGAGCAAGCUUGUUUUCUCCUGCUCCGGAGGGUAGGACUCGAACCAAUAGAUUCAAGUUUCAAGAAAUGAGAUUUCGACUAAGCAUCAGGAAGAAAUUUCUGACAAUAAGAGUUGUUCGACAGUGGAAUGGACUCCCUCAGAAGAUGGUGGACUGUCCUUCACUGGAGGUUUUUAAACAGUGGCUGGGUGGCCAUCUGUUAUGGAUACUUUGGUUGAGAUUCCUGCAUUGCAGGGGCUUGGGCUAGCUGACCCUUAGGGUCCCUUCCAACUCUACAAUUCUAUCAUUCUGUAACUCUUACGUUUCUAUAACUCUUAUGUGGUCACAACUUUGUCCCUACAAUCAGGAACCCUCAUUGUUCUGCUGGCAUUAAAAGAGAUGAGCGUUUUACAAUGCAUGUAACAGCACAUGCAAACUCCUUCCUUCCCUCCACAUGUCCAGUGUAAUGCGUGAAAGGUGUUUAUGUAUUUGCACAUUUGCAAAACAUGGUCAAUGACUUUAUAUAUAUGUGCCCUUGGGUAACUGGCUAAAGUUGCUUGGUGAAAACCAGCUGGGAUUUGGUUAUUUUGAGGCUUUUCUUCAUUACAAAGCUUGCAGCAUUUGAAACCAGUUGGAGGAUGUUUUCAAGUAAAGUAUUUUUGGGGGUGGCUGAUAUGGAAUGCAAGAGAGGCAUAAGCCCAUGAUGAGUAACCAAGUUCUGUUCCAAGCUUUCAGCGAUUACCAUCUGAUUCCAAGCUAGUGUAUCUUAAGGCCUGACAUACGUCAAUUGCUGUUGCUGUGGAAUUAAUGAAAUUACUAGACCUGAAAGCAUUAAUCAACAGAUUAAUUUAUUAAUUGACUGUGGCUUAAAAUCCAGCUGAAAACAUCCCUUAAUUAGUUGCAAGGGUGUUUGGCUUCUUCCAUGUGCAUCAGAGGAAACUGCUAUCUAUCAAAUGUUAUCAGCUAUUUGAACCACUGUAAAAACUGUAUAUUGUAAAAACAGUGUGCUAUAAUACGUUUAAUACAAUUCAAACACUUUGGACUGGAUUCAGUUACUUGGUUGCAUUAGUAAAGCCAGCAGGACUCCCACUUGUACUGAUGGAACAAUCUCCUUAGUUUUAUGUUGAAGUCCCCCCUCUGUGUGCCUGAUCAUCAGGGUGAGCUUCCUAGUCCCCCCCCCCCCAAAGGACCUACAAUCAUAUUUUGUGGAAAUUUCCAUUUGUCAUGCAUGGGUUGAAGGUUGCUCUGUUUUUGUUCACAAAGCAAUUUCUAAAGGAGUUGUGUUGCAAAUUUUCCAGUGCACAGCCAAUUUCCACAGUGAAGCUUAUCAUUAAUCCUUACACUGUUAAUGAUGAAACCAUUUGAUUCAUUUGCUAUCUGUUCUUUGGACUUCCUCUCCCUAAAGAAAAAGAAAAUGCAUUUUUAGUAGCCAUAUUGUCAGUAAAUUUCCUCUACUCAAGUGCAGGCUGCCUUUUCUGAAGGACCAUAGGAUCAAAGGUGUACUUCGACUUGGUUUGGAGUUCUUGCCAAAAGUAGUUUCAGUGCUGAAGUUUAAUUAGUAACUUUUUGGUGCUUGAGUUUGUGCAUGACCCCCCAAUGGAAUUUUCACAUUGCCAUUCCUGAGCAGACAAAUUCAGGAUGGAUAUGGUCUUUUUGAUGUGUUGUGCAGGGUCCAAAAAUAGACAUAAAACUUAUUCUCCAACAAGAUUCCAACUUAUUCUCCAACACUGGACUGGUGGGCUCCUUCUUCUGCCAAGCAUAAUUAUGGACCAUAAUUAUGGUCCACAUCUUUUCUACUGCUACAAUCCAGGAACUGAAGUGAGGUAUCUCCAAAGCUAGUAUCUGCAAAUCAGCUCAGUGGCCUUCCCCUCUGAUGUCUGUGAAACACUAUGCAGUGGAUCCACAUGCUAUAAGAGAAGAUGGUGUGAGCAUCACUUUGUCUGUUGAUUCAAGUUUCUAUUCCCCCACCAGGUUUACCCUAUGGGAUUGCAGUCAUGCUAUCUACUUGCCUUCCUGUAGAGCAGGGGCAGAGAACACCUGUGGUCCUCCACCGGUAUUCCUGGACUUCAGCCCCCAUCAUCCCUGUCCAUUGGCUAUGCUGGCUGAGGCUGAUGGCAGCUGGGCUCCCAACCAUAUCUGGAGUGCCACAGGUCCUCCAUGCCUUCUGCAGAGGCUUCCUGCAUUUGCUUCAUUUAUUUAAGAUGACAAGAGGGAACAGAGUGAGUGAAGUGCUGUCCCUGCAUUUGGGCUCCUCCACACUUCCACUUGUCCCAUGCCUAGAAAGCACGGGUCCGAGCGCAUUUUUGCUUCUCCUGCUAGCACCUUCGCAAAGCUAAGCAGGGUCCAAUAUGGUUUCAAAUUGGAUGAGGGACCACAUGUUGAGAUGCCUGUGUUGCAGCGGGUUGGCCUAGAUGACCAGCUAUUCAGUUCUGUGAUUCCAUGAUUCUAGUGUUGCAAAGAGGCAAGAGGAUCUUUUGAAACAUUGGAGGGGAACGAGGAGUCUGUAGGAAGCAGUUUGAGGCACUGCAUACCAAAGUCAUCACUCUGACAGGGGCCCAGCAUGCUUAGCAGCCCUGCUGUUUAUAGUGAAGGCAGAUAGAUGCAAGAGUGUGCACACAUUCAAUUUUCUAGGAGGAGGAGAGGACAUUUGUCAUUGUUACAGCUGCAUGAUGAAUUUGAGGGAGAGGAGAUGCGUUUUAGAUUCAGUCAGGAAUUAAGUUUCUGAUUUGAGGAAAGCCACAAUGUUAAAUUCUAAGCAUCCCUUCUUGCUUUUCCUCCUUUUAAGGGAUCUCAGAGCUUUUUAGGAGGGGCUGUUAACUUUAAAGACACCACAUAAUAUUUACAGGCCUCGUAGAUAUUAGUGGCUAGAGCUACUGUAACUCAGAAAGCCUUGUGUUCAGUAAAACAGAGAAGGAAGGCAAAGCUGAGGGGCAUGCCUUGUGAAAGGCAAGUGUGAAGGCUUCCCCUUUGAGACCUUUGAGCUGGUCUCAAGCAAACCAUCUGAAAGGUGAAAUGAUGCAGUUACAUCUUGUGAUGGUGGAAUAAGUAUCCCAGGUGCAGAAAGCUUCUGACGUCUUCAGUGAAAACAUGACAUUGCUUUGUAUAGAGAAAGUAAUGCAUUUACUAUUGCAAAAUACUAUUAAAAGAUAAAAUUAUAGUUGUACUGUAUUCUUUCUAAUGAGAGAAGCAACAUUUGCAUCCUUUCCACACAAGCUGUUUAUAAUUUUGUAUGCCCAUGUGAAGCUUCCCAUUUUAAAAAGUUGUUUCGAUCCUAGAAUGAGUGUUGAUCGCUUAAAUAACUUCCAGAGGAAUAGCCAUGUUGGCAGUCAAAACAACAAAAGAGUCUUGUGACGCCUUAAGGACGGUGAUUCUGAAUAGUGGUUAUAUUCUCAGGACAACGCUUUGUGCGUCAUGCAGCGCACAAAAGCUUAUGCCAGCCUUCCCCACCCCCGUGCCCUCCAGAUGUUUUGAACCACAUCAUUCCCAGCCAGCCAGGGAGUUGGAGCCCAAAACAUCUGGAUGGGAAUAGGUUGGGAAAGGCUGAUUUGUGCAAUAAAGACAUUUGCUAACAUUUAAGGUGCUGCAAGACUCUUUCCUAUGUACGUAUCUGCAUGUAUUGAUGACGUAUUCCUGGCGCUAGCAGUACAAGGAUCUCCGGUUUUGUAUUUUUCCCCCAAAUCUCCCAACUGUGAAUACAAAGGCAAUGAAAUCUGCUUGAGCCAGAUGGUUGGGGCUGAUUUGCAGAAGCAUGCAUAAAGCUGGAAGAAAAUCUCUUUGAGAAAUUAAAUCCUACUCUGUUUCUUCUUUCCGCUUCCCAAGGGUGUAAGUAGUCUCUGAAAACAUGUAAUAAGAAUAGCUCAUGCUUUCUCCUUCUCAGAAGAUAAAUAGUGUGGUUUUAUUUCACUUUGCAAGAACUUUGCAAGAACUCUUAGCAAGACGACAGAACAAGAGUCACAAUCAAGAUUUUUGAUUGCGCUACUCUGUGGAAUUACAUUCUCAAAACCUUACCCAACAUUUCAAUCUGUGGUCACAUCAGAUAUCACCUAAGAACAAAUUGGAUGGUAGCCAGGUAAGUUUUACUCAGAACAGACCUAUUGAAAUUGAUGAACAUGACUUUAAAUAGUCAUGGUUUCCCCCAAAGAAUCCUGGGAAAUGUAGUGUGUUAAGAGUGUUGAGAGUUGAUAGGAGACAUGUGCUCCCCUCACAGGGCUGAAUUUCUCAGAGUGGUUUAACAACCUAUUCCUCUUCACAGGGAAUUUUGAGAAUGGUAGCUCUGUGAAGGGAAUAUGGACCUCCAAACAACACUCAUCAUCCUUAACAAACUACAGCUCCCAGCAUCCUUUGGGGGAAGCCAUGGCUGUUUAGAGUGUUAUGAUACUAGUUUAGGUGCAUACUGCAGAUAGGGCCUUAGUCAUGUCCAUCAAUUUCGGUGGGUCUGUUCUGAGUAAAACUUAGUAAAACUGCUACCAAUUUAUUGAAACCAUGUCAUCCACAAAGAUAAAUGCUUCAAAACUAAAUCCUUCCAGCCCCCCUUUUAAAUGUCAGUUUUUAGCUGCGUGGGAGUCACUAUUCCAUUUUGUUGUGAGCUUCUCUUGCAAAUUUGGACACCUUUUAAAAUGACCCAGCCAUAUGCAACGUAGAAUGUGACUCUCUACCCUCCGACCCCCAUUUUUUCAAGCAAGGUGACAGUUCUGUGAUCCUAUUCAGAUCCUGCACAAUUGAGUCCCACUCAUGUGGUUGUGUCAUUUUGAACAGCUUCCCUCCACAGGAGCUACACACUGAAAAGUUGCCUGAGUAACAUUUAAAUGUCCCACCGAUCUUAUCAAUUACAGAAUAGGUUCAAACUGUGCAGUAUUCGGAAAGUGCCCAAACUAGCACACUUUGUUCAAAUUGAGCAAAAUCCAUUUCAAUAAAAAAGGAAAUAAAGAAAAACCAGUGGUGGCUCCAUUCAUUAGAUACCAGUGGCUUUAACAUGAUAAACGGUGGCUUUGAAAUACAUCUGCUUUGGAUCUUGCAUAGACUUGCACAUAUAAGAAUCCUGGUUGAUUCUUUCUUACUUUUUCCAUAUAAGAUGUAAAUGUUGACAUCUUAAUACCAAUCUUGCUACAUUUGUCUAUUUUAAUAAUUCAUAAGAGACAGUGUUUCUGUCUCUUGCAUUCAACAUUGCACAGCUGGCUUGGUAACUAAUUGAGGAGUGGUUGUUCCCUUCAGUUAUGUCUCUGAGCAUUAGCCACUGUAGAACACAAGGCAGCUGAGAACUUCUACUAGGUGAUUUAUUGAGCUGUGUUUGGUCUCCCAGUUCUUUUUGAAUCUGUGCCUGGUUUUCUCCCUCAGAAGCUGCCAUUGGGAAGAUCACGACCUGUUUAGAUUCCUCCUUGGUCCUCUGGUGGGUUGCGUUUGUCUUCUGCAACAUAAGGUUAUCUAUAUUACCAAGAAGGCUGGUGGUUUGAGCCCACCCAGGGACAGCUGUGUGCAUUGCAGCAAGUGGGACUUGUUGAACCUCUACAAGUCUGUGAUUCUAUAUGUUGUGCACAAUUUGUCAUGAUGCACGAUAUCAGCUUCUCUUAGACCUUUGGGGCUUUGAACUGUGUGACAUAGUUCUUUUUUCUUUUCUUGCUUUUCCUUUUUGUUAAAAAAAAAAACCCCUGGCUGCUGCCAGCCAACACACUUUAUAGGCUGAGUAUGCUGAGUUUCUGUGGCCUUCAGAAUGCUACAGCAUCAUGAUGUGAAAUUCCAGAAUAAUGAAAGCAGCCCUAUUCCCAUGGUCUCUGUUCCUCUGUGGAUUGUUAUCUUUGUUCCUGUAUGAUUCAGACUGCCUUGAAAGCAUUUGGAGCCCUGUUUUAAUCUCUGUUUGCUGGUCAGAGCUCGCACUUCUGAAAAAAAUACAAUUUCACCUGAUAUUUAUUCUCUUUGCUACUUAACUUGCUUCACCCACCUGAAUAAAUUCUUGUUCGUGUUCUGUAGGCCAGCGUGUGUUUUAUAAGAUUAGCCUCUUCAUCUUUUAUCUCUUUAUUUCCUGUGUCCUUGAUCUCCUGUUGCCUCGUUGUUGUGGAUUUCCCUUGCAUGCUUUAGGACAGAACUGACACAUUUUGUCCUAAGAGAGCGGUUGUAAGUUCUGCAGCUGACAAGUGUUUUGGGAAGGACUCUUGUGCUUUCAACAGUUCCUUUCCCUGCUGAUUUUUCCAUUGUGUCACAGCUAGAGAUGCUUAAGGAAUUCAGUUUCUGUGAAUUCUGAUGCAGACUGACCUGAUCUGUACCCCCUGAACUAAUGCUCAGGUUGGAAACUAAUUAUUCUUUAGAUUUCACACUUACCUGAAUUUUGCAACAUAGCUCUCAGCUACAAAAAGGUGCAAAAACAUGUUUAAAAUGCAUAUUUUAGAGUAAGAUGUGUUUAGAAAUGUGCAUAUUCACAUAAAAUACGCAUUUAAAUUAGAUAUUUUGUGUUGAGAUAUGUAAUUAAAUAUCGCAAGUGCAAUGUAUAAGAUAACAUUGUGCUUUCAUAUUGUCUCAAGACAGUUUUUAGUAAUAAGCCUCUAAGGAUUCAAUCAGUGAAUUAAAUGUGUGUUUGAUACAGUUUAACAUGAAUUUAAUAAACAAAAAAAGCAAAGGUAUGUCAAGUAGAACCUUCCCUUCCCCAAUUCACAGUUGGAAAAUACCUUUGUUAAGACCAACCUAAUUGUCACAAAAUAGUGACAUGCUUUUGAGUCCCCGGGGAGUUCAAUCAUGCCUAAGGUGGGCUCCAGUAUAAUCCUUUUCUGUGUAAAUUCUCACAGGAUUGUUGCGACAAAGAAUGAACAUGUAAUAGCACUUUUUACAGUGCUAUAGACACAGUUUUUCUACAGUUAUGACACAUAAGUUGUUAAGGAAUGUAGUUAAUGUGUUAAUUCCAUUAGUGAGGAAAGAGCUGGCUCAUUCCUAAAAUGCAGCUGGCCCGAAUCUGGUGCUACUGGACAGAUUAGGCACAUAACUCAAAUUACAGCAUGGGUUGUGGGUCAUUGGUUCUUAUUAGGAAGGAGUGGAUUGUUGUGCAACUGUGGAGUUACCUGAACACCUUGAGAAGAGCUCAUCUGAGAAGAAGACUUGGAGAAUUGCCAUAUCUUUGCACUCCGAGAACUCUAAGCUGCUGGAGGACUCUCUGCAUGUUGACUUGCCUGCAUUGCAGGGGCUUGGAACUCCCUUGGUGUCCUUUCCAACUCUACAGUUCUAUGUUUCUAUAACUUAGAACUUGCAUGUUGACAUCCUUCGGCAAGGACGUUGAAGUACAGGGACCCCUCUGGGACCAGAGGGAGAAAACUCUUGGUGUAACCUGCAUAUACUGUAUAAAUAUAGUGUGUGUGUUUUUUCAUCCUACCCAACUUCCAAGGAGGUUAGGGCAACCACAUGGCUUUGCUGGCCCUGCAAGUUUCAUCUGUGAGACAGGUUGGGCUUUAGCAGGAGCAAUUGGCUCAAAGCCACCCAGUGAGAUUUACGGCUGAGUGGAGACCUGAACCCAGGCCUUCCUCCCUUUAUCAUAGUCUAGCACUCUUGCCCCUCCACAUCCCAUUGGCUCGGGAUCAUUUCCAGCAUCCCAUUCCUUUCAACUCAUAUCAUAGUUCACUUCUCAGAAGUGAGACCUGCUUUUUAUUCUACUAUUGAUCAUUUGAAGUGGUGUUUUUAUGUCUCCCUCUGUUAUGCAUGUGCAGCCCUGGUGAUUUUAAUAGAAAGUUUUGCAUAAAGCCUGAGAGUAAGACAUUUGUUUUUGGUAUUUGAGAUUCCUGCUUUGUAUGAACUCUCUGGCUAGUUCUAAUAAAAAGGCAUGAUUUAUAUAGCCUAUGCACCAUGUAAGUGUGCUUGAGGUACAGCAACAGUUGCAGCUCUCUGGAUAGUAAUCUGCUUUUUUUCCAUGGCAUUUUAUAGGCCCAGUGUCAAUCUGAGGGCAUAUUCUGCAUUAUUAUUACUUUCUGUGGCAGCCCCAAAUGCAGAAAUGUAUCUGGAAGGGCUAGAUAGAUGUUUAGGCUCUAAGAAAAGCAAUGUAUCUCUUUUCAGCUGGUUUGGAAUGUGUUGCAUGUUGCUUGCACUAGAGCUUAACCCACAGAUUGAGAACUUCCUGUCUUCCAGCUUUUGUUGGACUACAACUCCCAUCAUCCCACACCCAUUGACCAUGCUGGCUCAGGUCGAUGGGAGCCAGAGUUAGCCAACUUCUGUUGGCUGCCCCUGGCUUAAUCUGUUAUCUGAGUUAGAAUUCCCCCAUUCAUAUUUUUUUCUGUGCUGUAAUUAUACCCAUAUUAGCAAAGUGAAUCAUACAAAAUACUUGCAGUUCUUUUACUUAUUUAUAAAACUUAUAUCCUGCUUUCUCCCCAGAAAGAAAAUUGAAGCAUCUUACAACAAUCAAACAGACAUGUAAGAAAAUCAACUUCACAAAAUGUAUUAAGCAACCAUAAAAAUAUGGAAUCUGUUUAAAAAAGGAAAAUCAGCAAAAAUGGGGAACUCAUAAAACUCAAAAAAAACCUAAAGUGAAGGCACAGAAGAAAACAACCUUCAGUUUUCUUCAGCUGAAGGCCUUCCAAAACAAUCAGGUUUUGGCUAAAUGCCUGAAGUAAGGAGGACCUCAGGACUGAGGGCCAAGGGUGGCCCUCCAGGUUUCAAUAUAUGACCCUCAGUACCCCAUCCAAGCUACAUACCUCUCCUUAAGCCAGACCUCUCACCUAAGCCAGACCUCUUCUCUUUGCUUUCCUGAUUCUAGCUAGGCAAAAGCACUUAAGGACUUGAACUGUGUGGAGGUCCCGUGCUUGCCUGGAUGAAGAAUUGUGGCGAGUAGGGGCAGAGACCCCUGGCAUCCAUGUGGCUGGCAUGAACAAAACCUGUCUGCUUUAUGCAGAUGUUGAGUGUGGAAUAUUUUGGUAAUUGCAGCGCAGUGCAAUAAUAUAUUGUAUUCCCAGAGGAGGUAAAGAUAAUUCAAAAUCAAAGAAACUGGCCAAGGCCCCAGCAUAUAGGCUGAAGGCAUAUAAGGCCCUUGUUGAAGCUAAGCAGGGGUCAGACCCAGGUCAGGAAGAAAGGAAGAAAUAUGAUGCUGGUGAAGUUAAGUCUUUAUUUAAGGAAACAAAAUACAACUCAGCCUGGUGGUCUCAGCAACCCUUUCCAAUAGGUCUUGCCCCUAUGGAGCAGUUCCCAGGAUUGAAGGCCUUCUACCACCCUUAAAACCUUCAGGAUGUUCCCCAAGCAGUCUCAAACUGUGUCUGUCCACCUCUGACCUCUGCUCUGCUUUUCUCAUUACUCUGCAUGUUCUUGGAGACCAGCGGGAAGGGGAGCUUGUCACAGCAGGAGGGAGAGACUCCCUGGAUUCUUCAGCAUGAUGCUCCAUCUCUGCUUCAGCCUCAGAGUCUGAACUGUUCCCUGUCACAGGCUCUGCCUGUUCACUAAACCCUGUUGCUCUUUCAGCUUCGGACACCACCUCCCACCAAUCUUCUCCCUCUGACAGCUCCUCUGUGUCCCACAAUCAAUCCCCUGGCUCUGAGCCUUACACCUCUGGGGUUUUGCUUGGGGAUUCCCCAGCUGGUGUCUCUCAUUCCUCUUUGACCAGCCAGUCCCUGACAGCAGAUCAGAGUCUGGUCAGUGCUUGGAUGUAUGGCCACUUGGAAACUAUGUUUACACUGCCUUGGGGGUCUAUGAUAGCAGAAAAGUGGGAUGUAAAUGUAAGAAAAGUAGAAUUGGCUGUGUUGUAUUUACUUGCUCUUCUCAUUACAGUGAUUACAGAUUUCUCUCAUUUCUCAAGUUUGCACAGCAGAUUACUGUUAUACUAACUUUUGACAUCUUGGGCAACUUCAGGAAAUGCAUACAGCAUAUGCAGCAUAGUCUUUUCUCAGAGUGUCCACUGGUGCCAACUCAGUUUGUUCCAUAUAAGAAAAAUGUGGCACAAACAGUAGCCUUAGUCAUGACUAUCUAUGGCAGUAGCCGGUUAGCAGUUGAUCUUGGUAUAAUUUAGCAGCUGUCUUUAGGAAUAACAUCUGCUUUAAAUGGAGCGAAUGAACAUGAGCACAAAAAAGGAAACCUCUGUGCUCUGAGUUCCUUUAUGGAUGAAAGUGGGAGGAGAGGCGGUUCAGUUCAGGAUAAGAAACAGAGCCCGUGGCAAGGGAAGGAUUUCCCUUGGCUUCCCUGCCAAAUGAGCGAAGGGGAAGCAGAGAAGUUUGCUCCUCAGGAGGGAACUGCUGUCAGAGUCCACUUCUUCCUCUCCCAGCAACUCUUAAUGCUCCAUGCCACAUUGCUUCAGAGAGGACCUUGAUUUUUCAUAGAGGCUUUUUUGUGGGGCAGGUAGUUGUAGGGAAAAGGUUCUUAUUUUAGGAUCCAAGCUAAUCUUCUUCCACAGAACCUGAGAGGCAGCUACCAGGUUUGUUGGGAAACUUGACUGUUUGCUAACAAUUCUUCACUUACUUGCUCAGUAGCCUAAGCAGCAGUAAUAACACCAAUCAAAAGUCUUAUUUAAAGGAACGUACACACAGGUGCAGGGACAUGGGUGGCACUGUGGGUUAAACCACAGAGCCUAGGACUUGCCGAUCAGAAGGUCGGCAGUUUGAAUCCCCACUACGGGGUGAGCUCCCAUUGCUUGGUCCCUGCUCCAGCCAACCUAGCAGUUCGAAAGCACGUAAAGGUGCAAGUAGAUAAAUAGGUACCGCUCUGGCGGGAAGGUAAACGGCGUUUCCGUGCACUGCUCUGGUUCGCUAGAAGCGGCUUAGUCAUGCUGGCCACAUGACCCGGAAGCUGUAUGCCGGCUCCCUCGGCCAAUAAAGCGAGAUGAGCGCCGCAACCCCAGAGUCAGUCACGACUGGACCUAAUGGUCAGGGGUCCCUUUACCUUUACCUUACACACAGGUGUAUCAGCUCUGGCCUUCGUAGGCCCAUACUGAGUUAGCUAUAUUGUUGUGGGUUGAGGUCCAUGUGUGACUGCUGACCUUGGGUGGGUUGUGUUUUAGCACAACCAGAACCACUAAGAAAACAUCAGCUGCAAUGGAUUAAAAACCUGCUGCAUGCAGUCUGGGCCAUGCAGAAUGUCUAACAGUCAUCGUGGGUGGAAAACACAGCUGUGCAUGCCCUAAGAAGGUCAUAUGAGUGGACUUGACUACUUCAUUUCUCAUUUUGCUCUGCCCUUCUGUAAAUAAGUUUUAUUACCCUCAGUCCUCUUCACUUCUUUGCUUGACACCUGUCAUUUUUGGAUAACAAAAACACUACCAGAACCACCAACAUAUUAAUAGAAUAGGGAAAGCAGUUUCUAGCAAUAUGAUUACGUAAUGCAUUUUCAAGUCCCCCGUCUUUCAACUUUUCUGUUCAAGUUGCUCCAAGGGUCUCUAGGUGUGAGAUAAGAUAAGCAAGGUAACAGGGGAAGGCUUCAGUAAUGAGUGUUUUGUUUACAAGGCCGUAUAGCAUGUGCGUGGAGUGGAGAAAUAGGCUCAGUUAUGGAUUUAACUUUGGCAAAUCAGAUGUAAAUCAGAUGCAGGUCUCAUACUGGGUAGUAUGCAGCAAUGUUUUGCUCGAGAGUAGACCCAUUGAAGUUAAUGAACAUGGAGGGCACCAUGUUUGCUAGCACUGUUGUACUAGAUCACUUUGUGUAGAAGGUAGUCUUAAGAGGGGCGAGCCGGUGAACCUUUUACUACUUGUGAUGCAGUGCCUAGUAUAUAUUGGACACUUUGAUUUUUUAAAAUAAAUGUUGAUGAAGUACGGUGGACCUGGUCUGAGCACAUUUCCUUUGCCCUGAAAAGAAAUGCUCACUUUGGCAUGAAGUGAGCAUAUGUUCAGCCAAACCACUUCUUCACUUUAAAUAAAUGUUUGUCUUUACCUUAAACUGCAGUGAUUGAUUACAGAAAAAGAAAAGGGACAAAACUCUACACUGCUUUUUUUGUUGUUGUCAUUUUAUUUUGAUUAGUAGAAUACAUUGUUUUAAAAAUGGAUGGAUAGAUAUUCUUAACAUACGUACCCAUUUAGCAGCAGAUGAAAAAUGGCCGGUCCUCACUAAAUUUGCCUGACAGCUGGUGACUGACUUGAAUCUAAUAUGUAAGCUUCAUAAGCUUUGCCAUAAUGUUUUGAAACGGUCAUAAACCUUAAGAGUAUCCUAGUCACACAUUUAACCUGCCACAUUUAACCUUCCUCUGCAUAAGAAAUUUAUGACAGGUUCCAAAUACAAUCCUCAACCUUCUCCUUAAAGCAAAUCACAAAAAAGAAUGGUUAUUGGGUCCCAUGGGAACUCAGAGUCUGCAAUAUAUUUAAGCAGGCAGCAAGAUGGCUGGAAUUAGAUAUUCAGUGCCAGGUCUGGGAAUCCUGAUUGCCACUGAAUAGCUACAAAAUAGGGCCAAGGUGCAGGAAUUUAGGGUGGGAGAGACUGUACUUUGCCUUGUGCACCCACUGCCUGUCCCUUGCCACUCCCUUCCUAGAGUCAUUACUCGGCACAAUGUUGGAAAACAUACCCAGAACUCCUUGUAGCAGGGGGCAGAAAGAAGCUAGGGGAGGAAUUGUGAGGAAAAGCUACAGGCAGAAGGGUUUAUGUGCUUCUUCCCACUUAGUUUGAGAUUAAAUCCUCUUCAUGCCCCUCUGUACCUGUUGGACUGCACUUGGAUCUGCCGCUGAACGCCUAAUUUUGCUAUCACCAAAUCACGAUUUCCAGAGUUCUUUGGCGAACAGCUAAAUUCAUCUCCACAGGUAGACAACAUACCAUAUUGCAUGUGCACACCCCCUAAUUAAUUUAGAGUAUAAGCAGGGGUUUUUUUCCAGCCAGAACUCACCAGAGCUCAGUUCCAGCACCUCUCAGGUAGGUGUUAUUGCCAUUCUAAGAGAACAAGGGAGGUGUUCAUGGUGAGUUCCGACACAUCUUUUUUCUAGAAAAAUAGCACUGAGUACAAGGAACUGGCAGUUCUGCAUCUGCAAGGAAUUGAUCAUCUGUUGUGGUAGCACCUAGUCACUGGAAUCUGCCUCUUUUGCCCAUUCAUAUAUCUCUGUUUUAUUGUUUUUGGCACCUGCUAACCUAUUUUUUUUGGGGGGGGGGGGAAAGCCUAUCCACACAAGUAAAUUUAACAUGCAGUUUAUUAUGCAUAUUUGCUUUGGAACUGCUGGCCUUUUUAAUAUUUUGCUACAUUUUAUGUCAAUUGUAUUUUUAGCUUUCGAUUUGGUUGCUAUUUUUUAAAUGAAGAUCUUAUGUCGCCUCAUGUAAACCACUCAGAGGUUUCUGUCAAUUAAACAGCAUAUAAAUCUUGUCAAGUAAAUAAAAAGAAACCAACAUGUAAAUGUGAUGAAUAUGGUGAAUCCAACAUAUGGUGUAGGUAGGAGGACAGCAGAAGAUUCUUCACACUUUCCUUUUAUAGAGAGUGCCUAUGACCUUUUGGGUCCGUGGUGCAAGGGAUGUUUGAGAUUCAUGGCUAAUGCCAUAUAUGCAGAAUAGGAGAGAAUGAUUAGGGAUGUAGGCAGCACGCCUCUUUGGGGAAAUGCCUGGCACCCUUCCAACCAACUCGUAAUUGCUUCACCGCGAAAAGCUGCAACGCAGACAGACGCAGCGACAGGAAAGGAAGAAAAUCCCUAAAAUGCUGAAGUUGGUGAUGUAAUGGGGAUUUGAUUCAUAGCUGACCGCUGUUCUCAAGAGUCACCUUCGAGCGGAGGAGUGUGCUCCCCUCCCUCCACAGGCAGAUGAUUUACUGCUUGACAGGUAGCUCACCAAAGCCCUUUGGCUGGAAUCAGAUGGCUUGUCUGAUCCCAGCCAGUACACAUCCAUUUUCUCAUACCUUCAUUCAGGAGGGAGCGAAAUAAGGCUGACUGAGCACAGUGCAUCUAACAAAUGCUUUGUCGGGUUACAGGAGCUCAGGUAUUAAAAAUUUAUUUCUACCAAGGCUGAAGCAACA
RNAcentral lists this long non-coding RNA (42687 nucleotides) under Podarcis lilfordi (Lilford's wall lizard). The record is from RNAcentral. Lineage: Eukaryota; Metazoa; Chordata; Lepidosauria; Squamata; Lacertidae.